This 253-nucleotide ribosomal RNA is filed under the name uncultured bacterium. Its description in RNAcentral is "partial 16S ribosomal RNA". It matches the Rfam family "Bacterial small subunit ribosomal RNA", at positions 524 to 776 of the family's 1533-position model. The record is from RNAcentral.
UACGUAGGGUGCGAGCGUUAAUCGGAAUUACUGGGCGUAAAGCGUGCGCAGGCGGUGAUGUAAGACAGUUGUGAAAUCCCCGGGCUCAACCUGGGAACUGCAUCUGUGACUGCAUCGCUGGAGUGCGGCAGAGGGGGAUGGAAUUCCGCGUGUAGCAGUGAAAUGCGUAGAUAUGCGGAGGAACACCAAUGGCGAAGGCAGCACUCUGGGACGUGACUGACGCUGAGACGCGAAAGCGUGGGGAGCAAACAGG